ACAAUAAGCAAAGCAUAGUUUCUGAGUUGCAUCUAGGUUUUGAUAAUUCAAUCCCAGAGAUGGUAGUACAUCUUUUAAAACUGCUUCAUGUUCCCACCAUUUACUAUUCAAGAAUGUCUUCCAGUAAUUCGAAUCCAGAUUGAACCUUAACAAAUUUCCCAGUGCGUUUGCUGCCAGAGGUAAGCGUCGCAGUAUAGACAUUUUCCUACCAAUUGAUUGUAAAUCUUGCCUUGUGUGUUCCUCAAGAAUCUGACCACCAAAUGUGCGUUGUUCUAAAAGUUUUCGAUAGUCAUCUUCCUUUAGAACAUCUAGUUUUAUAGGGUCCAUAGUGCACAUGAUUUUUGCUACUCUUUUAUAUUGAGUUGUUAACAAUACAGUGCUUCCCCUUGCCCCACGAGCUAAGGCUCUGGGCAGUUUAUCCCAACCAUUUAUGUCCACAUUCCAUACAUCAUCGAGGACGAUCAAAAAACUCUGCUCCCUCGUCAUACUCUGAAGUUUCUUCAACAUAUCUUCCAAAAUAGCAUUAGCAUAAUGAUGAUCAUCUACAAUUUCUGGUACCGGGCUUUCAUUGUUCGAGACCAACUUAUUUGCAAUUUCCUUAAUAUCAAGAUUAUUAGACACGUCCAACCACCUUUUCAAUGAGAAAUGAUUCUCCUGACUUCUGUCAUUGGGGAAAAGCCUCUGAUGCAUAAAAAUAUGCCUUGCAAGCGUAGUUUUGCCGGCACCCCCCAUGCCUACUAUGGGAAGGACAACAAAGCUCGGAGUACUACUAGUCCCCUCCUCUCCUCUGCAACUCAGUAACAUCCUUACUAUAACAUCUGUCUCUGUAUUUCGUCCAAUCACUUCCUGAGGGG
Molecule: long non-coding RNA, 854 nt
Filed under: Phoenix dactylifera (date palm)
Lineage: Eukaryota; Viridiplantae; Streptophyta; Magnoliopsida; Arecales; Arecaceae
Description: long non-coding RNA (PDAC_LNC017587)
Source: RNAcentral